This 195-nucleotide unclassified non-coding RNA is filed under the name plant metagenome. RNAcentral describes it as "partial contains small subunit ribosomal RNA, internal transcribed spacer 1, and 5.8S ribosomal RNA". The record is from RNAcentral.
UCUCCGUUGGUGAACCAGCGGAGGGAUCAUUACCGAGUUUACAACUCCCAAACCCCUGUUAACAUACCAUUUGUUGCCUCGGCGGUGCCUGCUUCGGCAGCCCGCCAGAGGACCCAAACCCUUGAUUUUAUACAGUAUCUUCUGAGUAAAUGAUUAAAUAAAUCAAAACUUUCAACAACGGAUCUCUUGGUUCUG